CAAAGUAUUCCCGAUUUUCUUAGCUUUCUGCCGGAUCUAUUAUUCUUUUUAUUUUACCGGGCUUUUAUUUGAUCUCCGAAUUAGGCCCAAACCUCAAGCCCAAACUUUAGCACACAAACCCCACAUGGGAUAGGUUACCCUCUUCUGUCUUCCUCUUGCGCGGCGACCACGACGAUGAAAUUCCACGAAAGCUUAAAUUGAUUCCGAUCUACAUAACGUCUUCACCAACCAUCUUUACUCUGCGUUACACAUAGUUAAUCCCUCAUCCCACUUAAAGCAUUCAAUCGAUCUCUUCGUAUCCCACCGUAACCGGCUGAAGCUACAUCUAUAAAUAUCGCAUCGGACCUUCCUGCGAUGUUAUUGAGGAUGAGAAAUUGGAGGGUUAUCUUCUCAUAUGCUGUCAAGUAAGUUUAGGAUUUCACCUUCGAUGUGCUUCCCAACUAUGAUUGUUUGAUUCUUUCUUCCCAACUAUGAUUGUUUGAUUCUUUCUGUUCGAUGUGAUUCAGUUGCUGGCAUUGAUCACAGAGAUACACAAGAACAACCUGCAAGGAUUUGCAAACUCGAGAAAAAUGAAGAAGCCAUAUGGUGGAGUGCUGCAUUUUGUCUUCGGAGAGGUCCAGAAAAAAAAUGUUUGGAGGUAUGUCUCUGCAUCUAAAAACUAAAGGAUCUAUAGUUGACGGCUCUCUCACUCCGAUUCUAAUCUGGAAUACAAUGAGAUACCUAGAAAGAGGAACCAAUGGUUCUAAACCACCAUGUAUUGACACGACAAAAGAGCUUUCAAGAUCAAGACAUGGCUAUUAUGUCUUCAUCAAUUUUUUUAACCAAGUGAAAGUUCUUGAAGUCUCCAUCGCCGAGCAGUAGAUUUGAAAGCAGUUUCUCGAAAUCGCAAUCUCCAAGCAGGAGAUUUAGUAUAGCGGCUGCUGACUUGACAACAACUGAUCAGAGACUAAGGUUCAUCGAAUAAGCUCUAAGAGGGGCGAAAGAGCUGUCAACAAAGUAAUCUUAAACCACAAGGAACCGGUGGUUCCAAUAUUUCAAGAAAUCGGCAAUCAAUUGAUUUGGAUAGCUUCAUUUUUCUGUAAGGACUAUGUUUUUUUUUUGUACACAUAGGUUUUGUAUUUCUUUGAGAUGAUGAUCAACAUUGACAUACUUUUGGUUAAAGUAUAAGAUAUCUUUAUAAAUUUGUAU
Molecule: long non-coding RNA, 1188 nt
Organism: Brassica napus (rape)
Lineage: Eukaryota; Viridiplantae; Streptophyta; Magnoliopsida; Brassicales; Brassicaceae
Exons: 3
Source: RefSeq, a predicted model, not a curated record